GGGGAAGGGUUGUAGCUCAGUGGAAGAGCAUCUGCUUUGCAUGCAGAAGGUUCAAGGUUCAGUCCCUGGAACCUUCUCCA
Molecule: non-coding RNA, 80 nt
Organism: Podarcis lilfordi (Lilford's wall lizard)
Lineage: Eukaryota; Metazoa; Chordata; Lepidosauria; Squamata; Lacertidae
Source: the annotation of a GenBank genome assembly